This 292-nucleotide long non-coding RNA is filed under the name Cucumis sativus (cucumber). RNAcentral describes it as "long non-coding RNA (CSAT_LNC001257)". Lineage: Eukaryota; Viridiplantae; Streptophyta; Magnoliopsida; Cucurbitales; Cucurbitaceae. The record is from RNAcentral.
GUCAUGCCUGGACACCGUGAAUCUAACUUACAGAAAGAGUUGAACCGUUACAUACCCACAGCGGCAGCAUUUGGAGGAAUGUGCAUUGGUGCACUGACCGUGUUGGCUGAUUUCAUGGGAGCAAUCGGUUCUGGAACUGGAAUUUUGCUUGCAGUGACAAUUAUUUAUCAGUACUUCGAGACCUUCGAGAAGGAGAAAGUCAGUGAACUGGGUCUGUUUGGUUUCUAAACUUUUUCAUUCGGUUUAAUUUAUACUUUGGUGGUGCCAAAGAGCUCCCUGUCAAUUUUGGUGC